CUCCUCUCAGGAUCGCACCUGGAGAGUUUCCAGGACUCUGCCAGUCUUGGCUACGGGAGGGAGAGAAAAGCAGAGGCCGACCCAUUCCAUUCCUAGCUUGGCCAGUGGCUAGCGAGUGGGAGGCGAUUUGCUACAAGU
RNAcentral lists this small nucleolar RNA (138 nucleotides) under Ornithorhynchus anatinus (platypus). The record is from RNAcentral. Lineage: Eukaryota; Metazoa; Chordata; Mammalia; Monotremata; Ornithorhynchidae.